CCUAGUUCUGCUGGAGUGGAGCUGAGAGAGGCUCUUGGGAGCUGCCUGCGUGGGCAGAGUUUGAAGGCUUAGGAUAUCUCCUGAAGGCCGGAUGGGCCAGUAGAGAUUAACGAGGCUUGAGCUGUCUUGAAAGAUGGCUGCCCUGAGAACUGGCUAGAAGAGGAGACCAAGGAGGCUGUGUGGGUCACCCUUGCAUUGGAGAUGAGGGGAGUCGUGAGAGAUCAGUGGGGAGCCCAUUGCCCUGUUGGGGAACUGCCUGGUGGAGCUUUCCCAGGGAUAUUUUAAAGAACCUACAUGGGAGAAAGCCUGCAUUUGGACAUCUUCCAGGCCAUUCAAUAGCCAAAGAGAACCACCAACAGCUUGAAUCAAAAAAAAGUGGGUCACUGACAAGAAAAUUCACCUGGAGGCCAAAUUGUCUCUAAUAACAAGUCCAAGACAUGCAUUCCAGCUGGAAUCCUCUUCCCGGAUGGUUGUGUGUUUUUAAUUGCAGUAGCCAUCUCCAAAAAUGCCAUCCAGUAACCAUGCCCUUGUGUGCUGCCCUUUCCAUGAAUCUGAGCUAGCCCCAUAAUUUGCUUUUGGCCAUUGGAUGGUGGUGGAAGUGAUGCUGUGUGACUUUUGAAGCUGAGUUACAAGCAGCCUUGGACAGUCUUUCUAGACCUCGUGGAGGGCUCACUCUGGGGGAAGCCAACCAGCAUGAGUCCAGGCUUUGAGCCUGGGAUCAGCACAGUUCCUGACUCUGACCCACACACCAUGAGCCAAAGCUCUAGACCUUUCAGAAAUUCUUCACCAUCAGAAAAAUGGAGGUGGCACGCCCUGCCGCAGCUGAUCAACUUCCCAGAUGUGCUGCGAGCCUGCAGAGAAAGAGAUAGAAGUGGCCUGGCUUUGAAACAUGGUGCUAUCCCCUAGCAAGCAGAGGAGGAGCUUCCAGACAGAAAAUGGUACCUUUCCCCAGAGUCUAUGUUGAGGUGCACCAGCCUUUCCAGUCCUGAGAAAAGACAGAGUCAUGGCUCCAGGGCAGGUGGGCAUGCCUGUGUCCCAGGAGGCACUGUUCUUCCUGGCCAGAGACCCAUGCCCACUUCAGAGGAGCCAUGAAGGAGAAACACCAGGCCACAGUGGAGGACUGUGAUCAAGGAAAAAUUGAAGAACUGCUGCAGGAAAUUGGAGCUGCCAAUCUCCUAACAAUUGGAAUUUUUUUAUACUGUGCAUUUCACAAAUGUAUGUCCUCAAGGACAGAGAAGAUCCUGCCCUAAGGAGCAAGUGUGCGGAGGCCACCUGGCCUUCACUGGUUCCUGCACUGAAUGUUUCCUUCUCACCUGCUGAGUACCAGGUGUUACCCCAGGUAGCCUCAGUGUGAUGGAUUAUCUGCAGAGAUCAUCACCAGUAAUCCUCCAGCCCUGUACAUAUCCACUCUUUUCCAUCAGGAGGUGAAAUUUAUUUCCCCUCCCCUUGAAUCUAGGCCAGUCUUGUGACUUGCUUUGACACUGACUUUUCUUACACUGUGCAUUUCACAAAUGUAUGAGAUGGCAGAAGGACUGAGGACCUGGGGAGGAGAGAGGAGGAAACUGGAGGACUGUGAACGUGGCCACGUCUUUUCCAAUGGAGAGAAAACUCAAUCGGAUCUGGGCACUCCCUACAUUUCUCCACCUCCUGCCGCCCCCGUGAGCCACUGCAGGGAGAUUUUUCUGAAUAAUGGAACAUUUUCCUGUUUUAAUCAGAUGCAAUUUUGCAAGCAGUUUUUAUGAUUUAGCAAGUCCAUUAAAACUGGCAUUUGUUCUGCUCUGACACUCGAAAGGGGCUCCACAGAGCAUAAACAUUGGAAAUUACUUGUAGGGAGAGACAAUAUUAAAAUUCCCCAGCCUGGGCCUGUUGUUUGAGAAAUUCUGUUAUCAAGCAUCAUGCCAGCUACGAUCAGAGGUGCUUGAGAUAUAUGCUGCUUCCUCUUUACGCACUAACUGGGGGCCUGGGAACUCAGGCAGCAAUAAAGUCGCAAUGCUGUUAUCUCUCAGCACUUUUGGCAUCAGGAGGUGAAUGGGUCUUAAGGAGAACUCACUGGAAGAGCAGGUCACGAAGUGCAAAAUCUCAAGGAAGAGGGUGGGUGAACACAUCUUUAAGGACAAGCCUGGAAAUUGCUUUCCUGCCCACAGUGAAUGAUAGAGUUUAUUGGCACAUAAUUAAGAAGGUCUGUUUUGUCAGUUUCACUUGUAGUCAAUUCUCAAUUAUCCAUAUACUAACAGAUGACCAGGGUCAAGUGAAAAUUCUCCUUUUGCCCUCCUUCUGCUUCCCUGCAGGGAUUCCCUCUCCACAGAACCAAAGUAGAGUAUCAGCAAGAGAGGCUUUGGGGAGCAUCUCCUCUCCCAGUCAAUGCAGAAGCCAUAGAAGAAAUCACAAAAGAUAGAACCUGGCAGUUCAACUACAUAAAAUUAACAAUGCGUGG
This 2434-nucleotide long non-coding RNA is filed under the name Homo sapiens (human). RNAcentral describes it as "non-protein coding lnc-OAF-4:4". The record is from RNAcentral. Lineage: Eukaryota; Metazoa; Chordata; Mammalia; Primates; Hominidae.